This 292-nucleotide ribosomal RNA is filed under the name uncultured bacterium. RNAcentral describes it as "partial 16S ribosomal RNA". It matches the Rfam family "Bacterial small subunit ribosomal RNA", at positions 505 to 796 of the family's 1533-position model. The record is from RNAcentral.
GUUUCAGCCGCCGCGGUAAUACGUAGGGGGCCAGCGUUGUCCGGAUUCAUUGGGCGUAAAGCGCGUGUAGGCGGCCGUACAGGUCCGGUGUGAAAACUCGAGGCUCAACCUCGAGAGGUCAUCGGAAACCGUACGGCUAGAGUCCGGAAGAGGAGAGUGGAAUUCCUGGUGUAGCGGUGAAAUGCGCAGAUAUCAGGAAGAACACCCAUGGCGAAGGCAGCUCUCUGGGACGGUACUGACGCUGAGACGCGAAAGCGUGGGGAGCGAACAGGAUUAGAUACCCUCGUAGUCC